UAAACGGCCGCGUUAGCGUGAGCGUGCUAAGGUAGCGUAAUAAAUAGCCUCUUAAUUGGAGGCCAGUGAAUGGCAAGACUAGGGAAAUCUGUACCCUGUAUAGAAAAAAAAUUUUUCAUCUGGGUGAAAAGACCCUAAUAAUAAAGGAAGACGAAAAGACCCCGCGGAACUUUACCUUUUCUUAGUCUCCACAUGCUCAAAACACAAGAACAAAAGGUUUGAUUGGGGCAAUCUCGGAACCACCUAAACUUCCGAUUUAUAACAUAAGAACAUACAAAACUUAAUAAGGACCAAAAAGAAGUUACCCCGGGGAUAACAGCGUAAUCCAACUUGAGAGUACACAUCGAAAGUUGGGUUUGCGACCUCGAUGUUGGCUUAAGGAUAUCCACAUAAGUGCAAAA
This 401-nucleotide ribosomal RNA is filed under the name Hamiota subangulata. RNAcentral's name for it is "partial 16S ribosomal RNA". It matches the Rfam family "Bacterial large subunit ribosomal RNA", at positions 1924 to 2560 of the family's 2925-position model. Lineage: Eukaryota; Metazoa; Mollusca; Bivalvia; Unionida; Unionidae. The record is from RNAcentral.